GGGCUUUGGUUUAGGUAGGGUAUGAAAUUUGAAAAACGGUUUUUUGGUUCAGAGUACAUGAAAUCAUUCUCUCACUACGUUUCUUUCCUAUUAUUCCUGUAGGGUUUUGCAAUCCUCUUUUCCUUUUAUUAUAGUGAAUGUAGCAUUUUUCAAAAGCUGAUCUUUUAUUGUUUUUCGCUUUUCUCUUUCUUUCUUUUCAUGUUGUUGUUGUUUUUUUUCUUUUUUUUUUCUUUUUUUUUUCUUUUUUAUACGACAUUCACUUACGAUUCACGUACUGCAAAGCUACCCCAAACUUAAAGGUUGCUAUUCCAACAGCAACCCCAAACUUAGAUAGAAACGAAGAGCUGAAAUCAAUCCUCACAUACUCUGAACCGGGUAGGAUAGGUACAAGGUCAUGGCUUUAGAAAAAAAAAACGGGUAUAUCAAAAAUAAAUGAUUAACAGGCUCAACAGGGUAAAACAAUGGAUAAUAAU
This 473-nucleotide long non-coding RNA is filed under the name Lathyrus oleraceus (garden pea). RNAcentral's name for it is "Pisum sativum (pea) long non-coding RNA (PSAT_LNC041126)". The record is from RNAcentral. Lineage: Eukaryota; Viridiplantae; Streptophyta; Magnoliopsida; Fabales; Fabaceae.